This 276-nucleotide ribosomal RNA is filed under the name uncultured bacterium. Its description in RNAcentral is "partial 16S ribosomal RNA". It matches the Rfam family "Bacterial small subunit ribosomal RNA", at positions 79 to 353 of the family's 1533-position model. The record is from RNAcentral.
CUAAGGCCGAUGGCGACCGGCGCACGGGUGAGUAACACGUAUCCAACCUGCCGAUGACUCGGGGAUAGCCUUUCGAAAGAAAGAUUAAUACCCGAUGGCAUAGUUCUUCCGCAUGGUAGAACUAUUAAAGAAUUUCGGUCAUCGAUGGGGAUGCGUUCCAUUAGGUUGUUGGCGGGGUAACGGGCCCACCAAGCCUUCGAUGGAUAGGGGUUCUGAGAGGAAGGUCCCCCCACAUUGGAACUGAGACACGGUCCAAACUCCUACGGGAGGCAGCAU